Molecule: ribosomal RNA, 497 nt
Filed under: uncultured bacterium
Lineage: Bacteria
Description: partial 16S ribosomal RNA
Rfam family: Bacterial small subunit ribosomal RNA
Source: RNAcentral
GGUGAACGCUGGCGGCGUGCCUAAUACAUGCAAGUCGAGCGAACGGACGAGAAGCUUGCUUCUCUGAUGUUAGCGGCGGACGGGUGAGUAACACGUGGAUAACCUACCUAUAAGACUGGGAUAACUUCGGGAAACCGUAGCUAAUACCGGAUAAUAUUUUGAACCGCAUGGUUCAAAAGUGAAAGACGGUCUUGCUGUCACUUAUAGAUGGAUCCGCGCUGCAUUAGCUAGUUGGUAAGGUAACGGCUUACCAAGGCAACGAUGCAUAGCCGACCUGAGAGGAUGGUGAGGCACACUGGAAUCGAGACACGGACCGGAGUCCUACGGGAGGCAGCAGGGGGGAAGAGUGGAGAAUGGGCGAAAGCCUGAUCCAGCCAUGCCGCGGGUGUGAAGAAGGUCUUCGGAUGGUAAAACACUUUAAGUGGCGAGGAAGGGCAGUGAGGUAAUACCUUGCUGUCGUGACGUUACCAACAGAAGAAGCACCGGCUAACUUCGUG